GGAGGGGUGGCAGAGCUGGUCGAAUGCGCCGGUCUUGAAAACCGGAGUGCCGCAAGGUACCGGGGGUUCGAAUCCCUCCCCCUCCG
RNAcentral lists this transfer RNA (86 nucleotides) under Rhodothermaceae bacterium. RNAcentral describes it as "tRNA-Ser". It matches the Rfam family "tRNA". From Rfam's summary of the family: Transfer RNA (tRNA) molecules are approximately 80 nucleotides in length. Their secondary structure includes four short double-helical elements and three loops (D, anti-codon, and T loops). The record is from RNAcentral. Lineage: Bacteria; Pseudomonadati; Rhodothermota; Rhodothermia; Rhodothermales; Rhodothermaceae.